This 784-nucleotide ribosomal RNA is filed under the name uncultured bacterium. Its description in RNAcentral is "bacterial SSU rRNA". It matches the Rfam family "Bacterial small subunit ribosomal RNA", at positions 60 to 845 of the family's 1533-position model. The record is from RNAcentral.
AGUCGAGCGAGCGAUUUAAGUGAAGUUUUCGGAUGGAUCUUAAAUUGACUGAGCGGCGGACGGGUGAGUAACGCGUGGAUAACCUGCCUCACACAGGGGGAUAACAGUUAGAAAUGACUGCUAAUACCGCAUAAGCGCACGGUACCGCAUGGUACAGUGUGAAAAACUCCGGUGGUGUGAGAUGGAUCCGCGUCUGAUUAGGUAGUUGGUGAGGUAACGGCCCACCAAGCCGACGAUCAGUAGCCGACCUGAGAGGGUGACCGGCCACAUUGGGACUGAGACACGGCCCAAACUCCUACGGGAGGCAGCAGUGGGGAAUAUUGCACAAUGGGCGAAAGCCUGAUGCAGCAACGCCGCGUGAGUGAAGAAGUAUCUCGGUAUGUAAAGCUCUAUCAGCAGGGAAGAAAAUGACGGUACCUGACUAAGAAGCCCCGGCUAACUACGUGCCAGCAGCCGCGGUAAUACGUAGGGGGCAAGCGUUAUCCGGAUUUACUGGGUGUAAAGGGAGCGCAGACGGCACUGCAAGUCUGAAGUGAAAGCCCGGGGCUCAACCCCGGGACUGCUUUGGAAACUGUAGAGCUAGAGUGCUGGAGAGGCAAGCGGAAUUCCUAGUGUAGCGGUGAAAUGCGUAGAUAUUAGGAAGAACACCAGUGGCGAAGGCGGCUUGCUGGACAGUAACUGACGUUCAGGCUCGAAAGCGUGGGGAGCAAACAGGAUUAGAUACCCUGGUAGUCCACGCUGUAAACGAUGAAUACUAGGUGUUGGUGGGCAAAGCCCAUCGGUG